UAUAAUAUAUAUAUAUAUAUAUAUAUAUAUAUAUGAAUGGAUGCACCCACAGACAUACAUAUGAACCCCCUACAUUUGUUUACUGGGCCAGGCGCUUUUCCUUCUAAGUUACUAUUGCUAAGCAACCAGUUCCUGCUGCUCUAAUAAAAAGUGUUCUUAACAGAGCUGCAUGAAAUUGUAUUUCUCCUGAAAAACUCUUGUGGUCAAUGUUGGAGGGCUUCAGUGAUAGGCUUUUUUAGAAUCAUUAAUGGAACAUUGUUAGAUUUGACAGUUUAACAAUACUGUUGAGGUAUCCCAGACAAUAGUUCAACAAGCUCACUUCAGCUGAGUCUUGGUAAUUUUAACAAUUUUAAAACCACCUUGAGUGGCUCUUUUAUCAGCAGAGUAAUCUAUGUUUUUUUGAUACUUUGAAUGGGUUGAUUGUCCUUAUUAUAUAUAGAUAUGUCUGAGUUUGUAAUACAAACUCAAUGUCCUAUUCAAAGAGCCACUACAAAUAUAUGAUUGUUAUAGGAACAUAUUUCCCUAUUUAGCUUGCACUUCAAAGGUUUUUCACUUUGUUAACUGUUCCAGCUGUUCAUGGUUCUCUAAAAAAGACUAAUCAGUCACCACACAAUGCCUGGAGAUUCCCCAGAGCAUGGAAACUUCAGACUGACAAAACCAGAAGUGUUUAGCAGAACCUCCUUGUAAAUCUUUCAAAUGCUACAGGAAGAGGUAAAUAAGUAGUAGAGUGACAAGAAUAUGAAAAAAAGUCCCCCAGUUACUUUUUUAAAUACAAGAUCAAUAUCAUCCACCUCAGGAAUUUAUACUCAAAAUAGCAGCUCUUGUCAUGUCUCUUGGCUUUUUCAGUGAGACCUGCAUUUAGACCCUACACCCGAAACAAUAUUUUGUAUAUUCAUAAUCUUUCAAGUGGUCCAAUUGCAAAUCCUCAGUUAUCCCUGCACUAUGUUCUUGGAUUCCUCUUGAUCUCUCAUAAGGGACCUGUUUAGUUCUGCACAGGAUUUUCAGGUCCUUAGCAGACCUGACCUGCUCAGGUGCUAUUAUUUAUAAUCUUUCUGAGCUUCUGCUAAUAGAGAACUUUCCACACUACAGGUUUUCAACUGAAUAAUGUUUAUAUCAUGAGCUUUUUAAAUUGGAAGAGUUCUCCUGGUAGCAACUCUUUGUGCCAGGUAGAUGAUAACAACUUACACGUGAAAAUGAACAUUCUUGGUGUGUGACCUAAUGAGCUCCAUUCUACCACCACCACUGACUGAGCCCUGAUGGAGAAUAAGCCAUUCAAUGACUGUGGGUGAAAUGUUUAAUGUCUCCAUGAAGCAGUUGUUCUGUAUUUAACAAGAGAAUACAGAUUACUUGCACACUUUUGUAUAUUGCAUUCGGAACUCUGGACCAGAAUGUGCUGUACAAGUAGGAGCGUCACAUCCACUCUCAGAAUCCAUGUGUAAUAGAUUCAUUGCAUGUAGAGAGGAAAGACAUUCUGAGUAGCAAUUUCAAAGGAAGAUAGUGCAUUUAUUAUGCUUUUAGGGUUUCCAUUUGUCUGCUACCCAGCCAGUUUUCUAAAUGCCACCAUACUGUGAUGUCCAUGUCAUCACCUAUUAUGGAGAAAAAAAAAAAAGCUGUACUUAACAUUAUUCAUGCUUUUAGCUGCAAUUCAAAAACUACCUGACUGCUUCUUGGAUGAAAAUCAGAAAAGCUACUCUAGUGGCAGUAAGUAAAUACUUAGGAGGAAAGAAAAGAGAAAAAUCACCAGACGGGUGAUUUUAUAGGCAACAUGCAAGAGUUUUUUGCAAGUAUGAACUCAAAACAUGCCUUUUAUCAAAAAAAAUUUUAAGGUAUACUUUUUAGGAUUAAAGCAAAAAUAUAUAUGAAAUUUGUUGUAUAUUAAAUUGUCAAUCAAUUUAGAAACUUUUAAAUUUACAAACUUUACACUACACUGUAGGACAGUAGACUGCAAUUGUUGCACGGUAUUUUAAAGGAGAAAACAGAUUUCCUACUGUUUGGAAUGAGGUCUUUUAUUAAACAAAGCCAAAACUGUGUAUGUGUGUAUGGGGCAGGGGGAAGAGAAGGGUAUCAUCCUGAGACUCUGAGGAUGUGUACAGUAAUUUACUUUUUAAAUCACACUUUCAGUAGAUACAGGUAAUUUUUUAACAAUUUUAUGUAGUCAUUUAGCCAUUAUACUUAGCUAUAUAAUAUCAUGUUUCUGUUAUCAAUGGAAAUGACUGACUGCAAGAAUAAAAAUAUCUUUUGACUUAGAAACAAUUUCACCUGAUACUUAUUUCUAAGAGAUGUAGUGGUAGCUAAGGUUUUGUCUUAAGAAAUCAUAAAAAUCUGUUGUUACAGUGACAGUCAGAAAAAUGCAGGCAUGAAGGAAAUACGUUCAUUUUCAAUAGCUGAAGAACUUAGUUACUUUUAGGCUUGUGGAAUUUAAAAGAACUUAUUAAACAUUUCAAGUUUCUUAAAGUAAGUAUUUAACAAAUUUAAGCAUUGAUACUUACAGAAUUAAAAUGUUAACGAAAAUGUUAACAAAAAUUCCAGUUAGUUAAUAUUAUUUUAAUUGUGGCUUCCUUAAUGUGACUUCCUUAAGGCUUCUUUUCAUGCAAGUAUUUGGUAUACUGUAAAGCACAGUCUCUGUCAAGUCUCCCUAUUACUGAAAUACCAAUCUGUGGUGACCUUCAGUACAGAGAAAAUAGCAAAUGCAAAGGAAAACAUACUGAGCAAAAACAAUUAUAUAUGUUUUCUUUCUGAGCAUUCCAAGGUUGUUAACCAUUGCAGGUUAUACACGUUGAUCCACCACUGAAGUGCAAAGCAGCAGCUGCUCAGAGCAAAAUGUUCUUUCUUACACUGCCAAGCAGAGAAUGCUGCAGCCAGCUAAAACUGCAAGUGGAGCUAGAAGGACAGGAGGCAAGACUGGAUAACAUGCGGUCGUCCCUCUUUGCCCUAAUUUCUGUGGAAAGGACAUGGAGACUUGUAGUCCAAAGGGGUCCACAGCUCAUGAAAGAGUUCACAAAAUUUGGGACAACGGAUCUGUAUUUGCUGUACAAGUUCAAUAAACCCUUCCUGCAUUCAUAAGAUGAUUUUUAGUAUUUUUUUUGUUAGACUGUUUCCAAAGCAGUGGGAAACUGGGCUCUCUAUCUAUGAACUGGUUAGGCUGACUAGAAUCCUUCUUGUACAAGGUCUGGGGAGUGUUAUUUUAGGGAGAAGGUCAUAAUAAUUUGAAUGCCAAGUUUUCAGUCAAUAGGAAAUACUUAAUACAGAGUACAGAGGUGUAUCUUAGUGCUCUUUUGCUUUUGAAGGUCUUUAGUAUGAACUUGUGAAUGGGGAAACACCGUGUUGUUGGGUUGUCUCUGUUUAGGCACCAUAGUAAUCUAUUUUAAAAAUGGAACAGAGAUUAUACCUCCAUGCUAAACCUCAGUGGGAAUUUAGUACUAUUUUUCUGUAGACCCUUGUACACCUGCUAUCAUCUGAAAGCUUCUUGGUGCAUUGCAGUAACCCAAACUGUGCUCUGCCCCCUGCACUACAAGAGGCUGAUGCCCAUGCGUGCCCCUCUUUCUUCUAAGCUGGGGGAUCUAAUUCAGCUCGGAUGGGUGACUGGGUUUUCAAGAGGCAAGAAUGCAAAGUAUGGUGUGACAAAGCCAAGACACACAAAGAAAUGUGACAUCCAAGUUUUAGAGCUAUCACAUUAGAAAUCAGUUUUGGAGACUGCAAAUGGAUUUUAUCCAAAAGGUUUAGUACAACUGGGGUUUGAAUGUGUGCUCUAAAUGUUCUAUGUGUUGAACUUUUUGGUAAAUUCUUCACUUUAGGAAAAAAAAAUUUAAAAUGUCUGCAAUAUUCUGAAGAGUCAUUUAAUGUGAUGUCAUCUCAUAUAAAAUAUGAGUUUGUGUACAGUGUUCUAUCUCAUUAACGAGCGGUUAAAAAAAGGACAGCAGCUAUUUAUUUUUUGAUGCUUUAAGCAUAUUAAGAAAGGUUAAGCACUUAAAAUUAUAUUGUUCAGUAUGACACAAAAGAAUUAGUUUUCUCUUUUUUCCUCUUUCCAUUUUCACAAAGAGAAAUGAAAUGAAUAGAAAUGAAAUGAAUGUUUUUAAGAGAGAUUAUGUCAAAUAGGCCAAAAUUGUACCAAAUCAUGAUGGCAAAUGGAGACAGAAAUUUUCCUAAACAGGAAAAUGAAGGAUUCCUUAGAGGUCACAGAGUACUAGGCUAAAAUGAAGGUAAUGCAGCUAAUAUCCAGUGCUUUGAUAGGUGAGGACACUGUAAUGGCCCCUCUGAGACAAUCAUUAGGCAAAACCAUUUGAAGCAGUUUUGUGGUUGCUCUGUCUUACAAAACAAAUUAGACUGCAGCUGCCGAAGGGAUUUAGACAAUACAAAUAUUAUCACAUUUUUCCCUGUUUUUCUCUUUCAGUUCUGACAAAAAAGUCGGCAGAUGUACUCAGAAAUCUGUCCAGCAGUAAUUAGAUUAACAUGGUAAUUGGACUGUAACUUCAUUUAUUCAUGCAAAUUAAGACUAAGCCAUAUUUUCAACCAUUUUUUGUUGUUUGUUUUAACAAAUAGAUUAACUUAUUUGGUAUCACAUUUAGUUGACUUUUUUUUUUUCAGGAGUCAAAUUUCCCAAUGGGUGAGAAAGUUUCUUGAGGUUUAAAGGUCAUGUCAUUGUGUAUGAAUACGAGGUCUUGUCCUUUCAGUGAAGUAGCAUAUUUAAGAAAUAUAUAAUAAGCAAGCCCAAAUAUGAGGUAAUUUAAUUGAAUAUAAUUUGGAAUGGCCUUGAGGUUCUAUUUCCUUUUUCAUUUAAUAUUGUUUAUCAAGUGAGAAAAAGCAAAAAAAGUAGAGAAGAUAGUGACCUAUUUAAAUCUUAAAUAUCAAGAUUAGAUGUACACUUUACUCAAUUUUAAUGUUGUAUAUUUGGCCUAACCUUACAGGUCAUGGGUUUCUGAACUGACUUCCUCCUUGAUAUUGUUAGUAUCUAAUUAGCUGUAAUCUUCUAUGAGGAUAAAAGUUUGGGGGUUUUUUUCUCAACUGACAUGCAUGUUGCCAGGAAAAUUAAUCCACAAACAUCAGAGUUUAUGUCCAAAAAGGAGACAGAGGAGUCCUUUUACUUUAUUUGAAUAAAGGGAGAGACCAUGGGGCAUUCCCCUGUGAUCUCUUAAAUUUUUGGGGGACACAGCCUCCUUUUUAUUCUAAUUUCCCAGCCACAUUUCCCUUCUCUCUUUCCCCAUUGACUUGAGAGGUGCAGACUUCCCGAUACACCUGAUACCAAACAUUUCCCUCUAAUGUAAAACCCUACCUUUUAAUUUUUAAUUUUUAUGGAAUUUAGGCUAUUUUUCCCCAAUCUUUCUUUCAUCUUUCAAUGUCUAAUUUCAUUUAUCAGCAAAACUAGAGUUUAUUUGUAAAAGCAAAUAUCUUUUUCCAUUCAUUAAUCAGGGGAAUCCUUCCCAUUGUUUCUUUUAUCUCUCAGUGCUAGUUUUAUCUACCAGCAGACCCACAGUUUGUUUGUAAAGACAAAUAUGCUAUUCCUCUCAUUAUCUAUUCACAUGAAUACACACAGACACACACACACACACACACACACAGAGACACACACAUUUCAACUCCAGUUGAAUAAAAACAGUUUUCAAAUUAUGCAUUGUCACCCUCAAUCCUUGAAGGACAAAAAAGAAAACUCACCUGAUUUGUGAACAUUUUAGGGGUUGGUUGACUGAAGGGUUGUUUUUCACUAAAGUUUGUAUUUUGAUACACAUGUAUACUGUAAAAUUCAAACACAUUCAAACUGCCAAUACAGAAGUCUUGCACAUGCAAUGCACACACCUGAACUUGCAAAAAUACCAUAACUGACAGGAGGAACUGCAGGGUAACAUUUAUUUGACAAAGUUGAAGAGAUUUAUGUGUUGUGGAAGAAUGUAAUUUGUGUUAAGCAUGUUCUGUGGUUGGAGGAACAAAGACUGAUCACCUCCACACCGUAACACAGAUUGAUUGCCAGAUGGAAGAAUAGUGUUUAUAAAACUUGUAGGAUAUUUAUGUCUAGCAAUGUUGAAACGGAGGUGGACAUUUAGUCUGAAAUCUGUGAUUAUCAGUAGUAUAAACAAAGACAUAGCCUUGCCCUUUUGAAAAGGUCAGGUGCAACAUUUCCUAAGAUGCUGGGCAAACUUGCAGAGCAAGAAAGGGCAGAGAAGGAAGUAUUCAGAGGGAUUGUUGGAUGCACAACCAGAAAUGCUAUGUCAGCAUGGCUGUGUGACCAGGUUGAAAUAGGGGAAAUAGGCAUAAACACAGUAAUCUGUUUAGUUUGAUGAAAUUAGAGGAAACCAAGUGAUUUGUGUUAAUAAAAAUGUAAUUUCUUUAUUUUAAAACUGAUCAAUCUUGGCUCAUAAGGAUAGGUACUAGGCUAAUUCAGUCAAUGAUUCAGAAAGGUACAGAGCAGGCUGGCAUGCUGAGUAAGAGAGGAAUGCUCAGGCAGUGUCAGAAGGUGACCAGGUGACAGAUUUGUGUCCCAGGUGUUGUUGCUGGCACUGCACCACUGUGUCUACCUUGUUCUUUGGAGGCUGUGGCACCAGGUGCACUCUGCAAGGCACAGGGCAGCAGUGAUCAAGAGCUUAUAUGAAUCAAAGUGAUUGAAAGAGAAAGGCAGGUAAAUCUGAGCCUAGAAAAUCUGUUUUUCUCCAUUUCAGUGUCUGCUGAGAACACCAGCUGCCUGAAGCCAUACUCCGUUAGGUUAGAUGAGCCUUUUCAGUGGUGCUCUGCUCCUAAAAAAAGUUCAGCAGUGCCUGGCUAAACACUAGCUGUGACCAUCAUAUUAAAAUGUACAGUUUUAGUCUUUUUUUUACCCCAUUGAGAAGAAAAGACAGUGAGGAUGCUGGGACAACUUCAUUCUACUAUGACCUUUAGAACCACAAGCUUUCAUAACAAAAAUGUCUUUCCAAGCGCCUUAUAUCUAAAAACCUUGUGUUGCUAUGCUAUAAAAACCCAGUGACAAUAUAUAGAAUUCAAGAUUAUAUUUUCAAAAACUUUCAAUGUUUUUAAGUAUAUCAGAGACAUAAAAGUUUUGAUUUAACUGAAUGCAUUUUAAAAUAUGUUGGACAAGUCAAAAUAUUCCAUUGGAUCUUGAUUAAUAAUUAAAUGGAGUCCAACAUUUUUCUGUUACCAAUGGGGUUUAUCUUUUUGCCUUUGUUCACUGUCUUGCAAUUAAAUCUUUUUUUUUUUUCCUAUUUCAUAAAUGCCCUGAUAAGAUUUUAAAUGCCUUUUUAUUUCUCAAUAUUUUUUAAAAAGGAUAGAUGUCUGGAGUAGUCUUUCCUUAUAAGUAGCUCUGAAGAAGUUUCAGAAAGACAAAAAUUUUAAACUUCAGUGUUAGGUCCAGGCCUACACACAAUCCUGUGACUUAGUUUGUGACCAUCCCAAAUCUCUUAUGACCAUUAGUAAUCACAAAAUCAAUCACUAUUGCCGAUCAGAAGAGAGGAAAAAAAAUGUAUCCAAAGGUAUAUUAGAGCAAAGGAAAAGAUUAAAGAAAAACACAAACAAACCCCUUUUGACUUACAGAGAAGAACACAAAAUGUCAAAUGGAAAAGAUUAUAUUAUAACCCUCACAUGUUGAAAUUUCCUUCAAGGCCAACUGUUCUAUUUACUGAAUAAAAUGAUCAUUAUUUCCAUUCUGCACUCAACAGGAAACACAAGUAGCAUGACAUUAAUUUGCUUUUCGGGAUGAUUUGUAUUUUUCUGUUAGGUACCCUCUAUUUUGGAAUUCACUGUUUUGCUGUGACAGACUCUGAUCUAAUGACUUUGAGGUACUAGCAUACAUUUCUUCAUUUUUCCCAUGGUGAGUUGAAUGGAUGUAUUAAGGAAAAUAUAAAAGAAAAAAAUACGGUUAGUGUCUGUAGGAAAUAGCCUAUAUGAAACAUAGUCGGGGCACAUGCAGUGAAAGGUGGCUGGUAAGUUCAUAUCUUCUGAUUUUUUUAUUCUGUAUUUCAUAAAAGCGUCUACAUCUUGGAGUGAAGACUAAAAGUAAUUAAACCUAAAAACAAGUGUGUGCAGGCCUUUCAUGUAUGUGAAAUUCCAGCUACUUUUAAUAUAUAUUAUUUCCUCCUGAGCUGUAUUUUAUGCUAAAAUGUUCUCAAAGAGUAUGCUGUCUAAGGAACAAGCUGAGAGUAAAAAGUCAUGCAAACCAGUACCCAGAGAAAAAAGGCUGACAGGAAACUAGGUAUUUUGGAGUUCUAAAGUGGUCUCUUGGGUCUUGCUUGAAUUUUGAAAAAUACCUCAGCUGCAAAAAGGUGAUUUUUGAAGACAGUGAAGAUAUUAGACUCCCAGUAAGAAUUCUAAAAAAGCCACAUUGUAUCAGUGGGAGUUCAUGGGCUGAAAAUAAGCUAGAAACCUCCUUUUAGUUCGGAAUUCUCAUGAAGAGUAAGAUCACAAAUAUCUUUUGGCCCUUUCAAAUGAAACCUAAUGAAUUUUCAGUGGAAACUUCUUUUAUAACUGCCUCUAGUACAUUUGAAAUACUCUCAGAAAGAACUUCUUGCUAAGACUAAUUGCAUUUCUCUCAUAUGUAAAGUGCAUCUGCAAAAAAAAAGAAAAAAGACAGGAGAAAAAACGACAAGAACUGUUGAAAUUAGCAACUUAUACUUUUCUGUUUCUUUAUACUUCUGUUUUCUAUUUAUAUGAGAUUAAAUAUCAUAUUUAAGUGGAACAUAGAUACAUACCCUGGAAGUAGAAUUUUUUUAAUAUCAAAGAUGGGGUAAAGUCUAGGAAUUCAUUAUGGAAAGUUGCAUGCUUCUUCUUUGAACCAGGCAUUCUUCUUUCAACAUUCUGAGUACUAAGUUCUGCCAUUUGUUCUCCUCUGUAAUCUGAAAGCCAUUACCAUUUCAUAGAAAUUUAAUAUAGUGGAGAAAACAAUGUUACAAAUUAACAGGGCAAGGAAGAGAUCAUUGGAUGACAGAUAUGUAAAAAUUUAUCAAGUAAAUUUUUAAUUGGAUAAAAGAUAUUAGUCAUUCAAACAGACAUAUUUUAUUUAUCUUACACAAUUCAAAUAAUAAUUUUUAAGUCUUAGAGUUAUGAAAAUUAGAACUUUUCUUUUUUGGAAUGAAAGGUUAAGUUUCUUCCACAUCACAUUUAACUUGGCAGCAUAGUUACUUCAUGCUUGAACAAAGAGAAGUAAAAGGGUAAUGAUUUAUGUGAAAUAUUUUUGAACUCAAGUAUCAUACAAUUAAAAAUUGCUAAUUUUUUUUUAAUUUUUAUUUUGCAUUUUGCAAUCUGCCAUAGCUGAUCUCAUACUCUUUUGUAACAUAAAAUUUUCUCAGCCUUUUUGUUUGGGGCACUAUGAAUCUGAGGGACAAAAGAAAAUCUAAGAAGGGAAAAUAAUAGCUCAAAUUUUUAUGAGCAAUCUCUGUGGUCAGAACAUUAUAAAAGAACUUAGAUACUGAAAUAUUUUUUAUCUGCAUAAAUUUCUAUGAAACUUGAUAGAGUUUACAAAAGAAAAGUUUGAAAAAUUGCAUUUGUCAGAAUAGUUUGGAUUAAAUUCUGUAUGUUAAGAUUUUUCUUAUGUUAAUAUAUGAAAAAUGCUGUAUUUAAGCAAGUUUGUCACAAUAAAUCAGGCUAAAACAGGGUUCACGUGUUCUGAGAAUGUUGUUCCUGGUAUAUUAUGCCCUAGGAAGCUAAAAAGACUCACAAGGUUUUAUCUCAUCAAGCAGCCUUUGACUCCUCGUAGAAUGCUCACAACACAUUUGUUAGGGGGAAAAUAACCUGUCAGGAGAAAGCAGAAGACACAUACAGUCAACUCACAUUUGAGUAGAAUACACUCCCUACCCUGUAUAUUUGCUUUUGUUGUGUUCUAUUUUUGCUUUACCUGCCACGUUUGAAAUACCUGUUGGCUCCCCUGCAGGACUGCAGUGGUGGUCUCAGAGAAGUGGCUCCACUUAAGUGUUUCUUUGGCAAGGUCAUGAAAGGUUGCCAAAGUGCUUGCAAGUAUUUUGAAAAUAUAUUUUUAAGGAAAAAAAUAGAAUUUUAUCUAUAACUACAUCUAUGAUAUCUCUGUCUAUAAACGCCAUAUAUAUAUCACUCCCUGAAGCUAUCCUCCAUUAGUUGUUUUACAGUGACAUUCUACAAAUUUGAACCAUUAGGAGAUUACAAAAAGAUGGCAAGUUAAAAAGGCGAAUCACAUUUUCAGAAAAUUUGAGUUGAACUGUUCAAAAUCAUACCAAACCAUGAAAAUAAUAAUGUUCAAUAAUCUCCUAGAAACAGAAGUGCCCAGUUAUUAUCCCUGAUACAUUAGUUCCCUUCUCUGCUCCCUAUUAACACCUUUCUAGAUGUUCUUCUGGUGCAUAGCUGAUCCUUCAUUCACCUACAGGUGUUUGCCAGUGUCUGAAAUCAUUCCCAUCCACAUAUAAAAAAAGAAAAAAAAAAAAAUGCAGUGCCUGCUUCUUACCAUUAUGUUAGCAAGGAACUGGGAGCUAUUUUUAUCCUUUUCCUGGAUGAUGAGCAUUUUGUUAUUUCCCAUGUACUCUCAUUCCAUAUAUCACAGUCCAAAAUUGCAUUUUCUCAGGUGGAUCUGAGGAUGCUGUUUAGUAGUUUGCUUGAUUAUAAAGGAGGGUAUCACAACCAUUAAUUUUGAUCAUGUAAUCACGUGCUCUGCAGCACCCUCCAAAAAGAUUAAUCUCUUGCCAUAUGAAGAGAUAGUAAUACUACCUUCACAACUUUCCCCUUUAAUCACUUUUGCAGCACAUUGUAAAUUAAAAACCUUAUAAAAGUCUGUCAUUUUAAUAAUUACAAUAAAAUGCUCUAUAAAUUGCUGUUAACACAAUUGAAAUUGAUCAAUCAUGUCUUUCCCCCUUAUAGAGGAAGAAGUUAUUAAACAUCUAAAAACCAGAGUUUGAAAUACUAAGGCAAGCCACAAAUUUAUUCUGUAAGGCUUGAUAUAUAGACUGACAUCUUUCCCCGCAAUUAGUAUUGCUCAAUUACUUAUGCUCUUUCCUGCACACUGUGGAAAAACCUUCAUGGCCCCACAGCUUCACUGUUCUCUCCUUCCCUGGGCACCAUUGGUAGCUCAGUUUAGGCAAGAGAUGUCUGAGAAGAUGGGUUAGAGAAAACACUGUUCCUUCCUCUGUGUCCUCUGGAAGCAACACUGGGAUCAAGAAGAGCUUCAAACGCUCACAAGCUUCCAGUUGAGGGCAGCUUCUUCACCUUUUUUGGGAAUCCAGGCUGUCAGAAAGGGGUGAGUUUAAUGCAUAAAAGCAGUAAUAAUUUAAUAGCCUCUGCUAAGGGAUAGCAUGAAGUAGUUGUGUUUUCUGGCUAGAAAAAUUUACAAAGAAAUAUGGAAAAUAUACAAGGAAAUACAAGGAAAACGCAGUUUUGUUUAAGCUGAUAGUAACAUGUAUUAUAAGUGUUAUUACUCAGAGGUGCAACCACGCUGAUUGAUGGCUUGCUAGAGACAGAAUUCAAGAGCUUUUGGUGCAUCUGGAAUAAACAUAUAUUAGAGAACUAUAUGUGACAUAUUUUGAUUCUAGCUACUAUAGAUAUAAGGGUUUUGCCUUGUAGAUUGAUAUUUUUCAUAAUUUAGUGAGCACUGAAAAAAAUAUAAAUGUGUGUAUGUGCGUGUUUAGAAGACAAAAACCCAGAAGCAUCUUUCAUUGCAGUACACCACUGGAAGAGUAUUAGCAUUAAGCUUGAAUAAGCCAAAUGCUGUCAGGAACAAGCUUGAAUUUUAUAACUUUGUCCUAAAAUGGUUAUGAAUUAUGUGCUGGACUUACUCAUCAGUGUGUCAGAUGAGUGCUGAGAUUUAAGAAAGUAGGUGUGUUCUCCACAGAAUACUACUGAAGAAAUAUUAGGCAAAUUAAACAGAAAUUUCAUCUUGAUUUGCUAUAAACUUUUCAUUUCAGGAAGUUGUAAAGAAGGAAUCAGUGGAUAACCUCAAGUUCAUGGCAGUUUUUCGACUGAGUUGGAGUAUAAUGAAUAUAUUUUAAUUUUAUUGCUUAUUAUACAAGGAUUUAAAAAAGGGUUAAGUACAAUCUGGUCAUUUUUGUUAUGCUUCAGUAUCUGCUAUUUUUAUACUAUCUUUUUUUAAAAUCUUCACCAAAUAUAAAUGCCUUAGGAUUAUAUAUACAUUUUGGAAAGCAAAAUAUUUGAAAGGAUCAGAUCACUGCCAGUACAUGCUGUAUUUAAAAUAGUUACUCAAUAUCUUUUUUGAAGAGUGAGCCAAAUAUAGGUACUGACAUUUCUUCAGCACAAAAUUGUGUUUGGUUGUUAUUAACAUAUAUGGACUGCCACAAAAUUUCAUUGCUUAUUUGCCAAUUUUGGCAACAGGGCUGCAGAGUAAUCUUUAUCCAAGACCAUCUUAAGGUGGAAAAUUUCUCAUUUGUCAAAAUAUGUCUUCUCUCAGUUCCACUCUAUCUGUCACCUUGCAGCUGUAGAUUUAUACUUCAGUUCUACCCUACAGUUCUGUGCACUUUCCCUCACUUUCUUUCUUUCUUGUGAGUAAUGUACAAUAACUAUUUUGGCGAAGACUACUUUUUGCUCGUCACAACACAAACUAAAGUGAGGUCUUUUAGAAGGAUACUGAGUUUUAUAAACACAGUUCACAAAAUUCUCCAUCAUCCUUGUGACUAAAAUCAAAGGACACUGACACUUCUUCAUCCCUACUGUUAGUAAAUCUGAAAAAUCCUCCCAGCUGUUACAUAGAACACUAUAAUUUUAUACAAGAAAAAACACCAGUACUCCUGCUGUAAGUGAAGUAAGAGAAGUUGUGGAAGAAUAGACCAAGGAUCUUUUAUCUCAGGGAUCUAAAAAUUAAAAUACGUGUUUUCAAUAGUUGCUUUUGCACACACUUAGUAUGUGUCUGCAAGCAUGUAUAAAAAUUUCUCCGCAAAGUUAUCUAGAGAUAAUAAGAAAAUAAAGAGUAUCAACACCAUGCUUUUAAAGAAUAGAAUUUAAGUUACUAUCCUUAGUCUUAGAAUUGAUUUUUUUUUCUAAUGAACAAACAGCUCUCCAUCUUUCUAGUGUCAUAGUCUUUGAUCCUGUGCUAAAAGAUUUCACAUUUCUUCUCCAGUGUAUUUGCAGGCUUUCUCUUUUCUAUUUUUGAUGCUAUUGUUGUUGUUGUUGAUCAGCCCACUGGAACUCUCUUAUCCCAGCUGAGAAACAGCAAGAUAUUUUUCUGUCACAGAAGCAGCUCUAGAUCAAGUUAUUAAGAGGUAGCACAGGAACAGAAAAGCACGUAAAGCAUUUCUUGAGAACAUUUAUUUCUGUAAUAGCUGAAUUAUAAUGUAAUCUUUAAUUACUUGAUCAUGUACUUUUCCUGUCUGAAAGUGAAAAAUAUUACAACUUCAUCAAAUCUUAAUGAGUUUACAUGAAAGCAAGAAAUAAUGUUUCUUAGAUGUGUGAUCCAUACCUUACAGAAUGCAAAGGUUUGCCUUCAUCUAAGAAAUUCCUUCCACAGGGAUUUUAUUGAGGAUUGGUUUUUCUCUUCAGAGUAUCUAUGCAAAUGACUGCUCCAGCAACUUGUAUGAAAUACAAGGCUUAUGAACAGGAAUGUACAGAAAUUCUGAUAUCAGGAAGAGAAUCCUAGAUGUUCCUUUUCCCAUAACUUUACAGAAAGGCUUCGAUGGUAUAAAUCCUCUUAGUUUUCACAGAGUAACAAAAUUUACUGCCCAUGGUGUAAGAGAAAAAAUCAAUAAGAGCAGUUCUUGCCAAAGGAGUUUUCAGAUACUCUUUUGAUAUCUGCUGUCAUUUCCCUUCCUUGUAUCUAGCUCUGUUCCACUAGUCUGUAUCACUUGUUUCUUUUGUCUCCAUCUCCUCUCCCAGGGUCUCCAUCACUGUGGCAAAAAAUGUAUGCCUGGCAAGGAGCUCCUUCAUUCCAACUUUCACCUCUAUCUCAAGUCUUAAUAUUCUGUGGCUGGUGUGUUCUGUGGGGAAAUCUGCCUUGUUUGGGUUCACAGCCCCCCUCAGCCUCCAGUCCUCCUAUAUACACUAGGCAGGCACACACAAAGAACCUAAAAAUCCUCUGCUAAGCCCUCAUGAUCUUCUGUUUGUUUUUUCAGGAAGUGUGUUUUCAUUAUUCUGUUGUGUUUUCAUUUCUCUCCAAGUUAAUUAAAGUUAAUUGAUUAAUUGCUACUCUGCUAUAGCAACUACCCAGCUGGAAAAGCACCAAUCUGCAGUGAUCAUAUGUGUAGAGCAUAUCUAAUUUGUUAUCUUAUAUGGAAAGGCCAGAACUCCUUGUAAAUUAGCUUUAACAAUGUGUAUUUUCCAGGAGAAGCAGUCAGAGUACAACAUAAGUACUCACUGGUUCUACCCAGCUUUUGCAGGAGAGGCACUUGAAAUCAGGAGCACAGAUGGAGCUUUGUUUCCAACCAGGCAAUUUCAGGAAUCCCUCUUCUGUUAAAAUGGAUUUUCUGGCUUCUUGCAAUUGCCACCAGUACACCUGGCAGACUCUCUGGUGCAUAAUCAAUCUGCACAUUUAGGGGGAAAAAAGCUUCCAACUUCCUUUAAAGAUAUACUGGCAACUGGAGCUGGGUACUUCCAUAAGUCAGUGGUGGAAAUUGAAAUUACAUGUUGAGAGCUGUACUUUCAGUCCAGUUUGCCUGCUACAAUCAAACAUAUUCCUCUUUGAAGAGGAAUUUGGGGAGUGAAUUUGUAAAAAUUGGGGCAUUUGUUUUACUUCAUGGCAUUUGCAAGUACAUGUAGAGUCCAUGUACAUGCUCCAGUAACUUAUUCUGGAACAUACACAUUAUCAGUCAUCCUCAUGUGCUAUAUAAGAAAACUUUAAAUUGAUCCAAAUAUAUCUUGAAAAUGAUGAAUAUACUGAAAACGUUGGCUUGAUUUGAAAUGUCUUCUUAUAAUUUCAUUUUGUAAUCAGUUCCAAAAUUUUCCAUUCUUCUCCUGAUUCAAAAAUUUGAAAAUACAAAUUCCAAAUUAUAUUUUGCCUUAGCAAAAAGUGAAUUUCUUGCUAUUUGGUUUAUUUGAGCAUUUGAGUAAAGCAAAAAAAAAAUUACAAAAUAUCUUCUGCUCAUUGAAGUUUGUGUAGGAAGAAGGAUUUGCUAAUGUUCAGAAUAUGGUAGUAAGAUAUACAUAUAUUCACCUCUGUAAAGUUCUUACAGUAUGGGUCAGAGGGUUAGGGUAAACCUGAGUUUAAAGAUUUUCUCUGAAACUGCAGAUUAAUGCAUUUGCUUUCUGUAGAAUUACCUGGUUUUGUGCCAAGAGUGAGCUAGAAAAUUUAUUACUGAAAGCAUGUUUUCCUUAUUUUCCCAGAAAAUGGGGUAGAGUGUAUGGUGUGUCUCUGUAACAUAUAGGAAUGAAAAAUUAUGAAAAUUGAGGGAAAAUGACAAUUUAUUAGCUAUUUAUUUUAAUAAACUAUAGAUUCACUUACAGUUUCUUUCUAAAAUCACAGAUUUGGUCCUAAAUAUUUGUAUGUGUAUUCAAAGGUGUAGUGUGAUACAUAACUUUAUCCAAUACCUACAUAAUAUCUAAUGUAUUAGGUAUGUUGAGUUGUGGAAAGAUUACUUCUCUAUUACACAGAGAAAUUUCACUUCACCUUAUGCUAACACAAUGAUUUUGUGAUUAAAACUGUUUAUUAUCACAUUUUUCCUCAUUUUAUUUUAGGAUUUUCUCUAAAGCUUAAAAAGAAUAUUCAGAUUCAAAGGUAUAUGUCGCAUUUGAGCAAGUAAUUAUAGUACUUUUAUCAGAUAAGUUGAUUGCUGACAAUUAACAUUAAGGAGUUUAUGUUCUUCAAGGCCACUUUCUUUUUAGAAAUACUUAAGAACUUUUCAGGGAAAUGCAAUUUUUCCAGACCAAAGAACUAAAGGUCAGACCUCAAUGUCAACAUAAAUAAAGCUUCUGGCAUUUAAGCAAAUGGUAAAAUAGAUUUGCAUUCAGAUUAAAUUUAAAAUGAUUGUUCUUUAUUUAUUAAAAGGAAAGUGAUAGCAAUUAAAAUACAAUACAAAAGGACACCACCGGAAAGAAAAAUCAGUAUUGCUCCUAUUUACAGAAUCUAAUGUGAAAAUCAUCAUUUAGAAAAAAGAGCAUGUAAAUUUGGUAGCAAAGAAAUCACUAUCACUUAUAAACACCACCACCAAAAUCAGGUAAAUCACAUAACUAAAAUAAAUGAUAUUUAUUUGAAAAGUAACUAAAACAUUACUAAAUCGUGAUAGAAAUUAUUAAACAUUUGCUUAAGCAAUAUCUUAUUCAGUUGUUUGGGUUAAAUAAUCUCAUAUUUGGAUGGACAUAGUUACAUUACAUUUAUUAAGCCUGUAAAAUUUUAUUCAGGUGUAGUCGUCAUUGGAGAUAGAAGAAAUAUACUUUCCCUUAACAACUUUAUUAAUUGGUGGUGGUUCCUGGAAUAAGAAACACAAAAGGGACUUUGAAAAAUGUUUAUUAUUAUCAUUAAUUUUGUUUGCUAGGUUUUGUAGAGAACUGUAGCAUGUGGAAUAGUAAAUUAAGAUGUGAUUGAUUUGUUAUAAAUAAGAGCAUCAAGAUUAAUUGAUUUGAGAAGAUAACUCUUAGUUGAAAAUGCUCAAGUAAUACCUUUAGCAGACUUUGCUGACUUAAACAUGAUCCAUUCUGACAUGGAUCCAUCAUGGUCUGUAAACAUGAGCAUCAAAGAAACAAACCUCAAUAAUGUGUGUGUGAGGAGUGUGGACCCUGCAUGCAACUGGCUGGAAUUUUUUUGAACAGUCAAUUUUGUCAUCAGUUGAAUGAAUUGAAAGUGAGUAAUCUGUAUUAUAGUCCAGUGGUGUCAACAGUUGAAGGUAGGGAGAUAAAGAAACAAAUGACAGCAGAGUAACUGACUGUUCCUCUCCCCCUCUUAUAAAGCUCAGACCUGGAUGGUUUUCUUGCAGGGGAGAUGAACCUCACCCAGUGCCUCUGUGUGCUUUUGUAAGGAGGUACCAUCUCACGUAAUAUUCUGUUCUGUGGGCUGCACCCACAUAAUUAUGUGACAUCAAACUCAUAUGGGAGCCUGCCAAUUAGUUGCUAUUCAUAUGCUACAAGCCCAUAAAGCAUGGAAGGAAUUAUUAAUGAAAGAGGACUUUGCUGCACCUUCCACCUCAUGAAAGGUGGAGCUUCAUGUUUUAUACCCUGGAGGCACCCAUGGUGGUUGCAAUUGGUGGUUAAGUUUUUGUGGACAAAAUGUUGACCAGAGAAGAAAAUCUACUGGUAUGACUGACAGAAUUAAAUAUAACAGUUCCUUGCAGCAAUUGUGGACUGCAAUGUAAUUCCGUGUAACUACAGGAAUUUUAAAAUAAAUGUCAUCCUUUAGGGACCAUGUCUAAUCAAUCCCUUACAAACUCAUCAGAGUAACAAAAGAUGCCUAUAUGGGAGAAUAGUGUAUGGAAUAUCUAGCAUCAGCUGAAAAGUCACUGAAUAACUUCUUUCUAGAGUGUCAUUAUUUCGUAUUUAAUACGUAAAAGAUGAUAUAAAGGUAUAUUAAUUGUUUUGUAGUGAAUGUACUUAGGUGAUAUAAAAGGUUAGGUCUUUUUCGACUAUAAUUUUAAAAAAAGGGCUGUGAAGAUACAAACGAAGUCUGUCAACUAACAUUCAACAAUUUAAGGCUACUAGGAAGCGAUUCUGCAAUGUAAAUAUUUAGCAUUAUAUUAGACACUCCACAGUGUUUUUUCUGGUCUCCAGUUGCCUGCCCAGAAGAUGAAAUACUCCUUCUAUCAUCCACGCCUACCAAACACCUCAGCAAAUUGAAACAGAAUCAAACAUGCCUAAUCUGUGUGUGGGCAGCUGAACCCCCUCCAUCAGAUUCAGCCUUGUGUCUGUGUUAACAAGACUUUUACCAUGGAUGGCUUAUUUUGCUUAUUGUAGGAAAAUAAAAUGCAGGUAAAUAAUGAUCUUUGGUCACUUGUGUUUCAGGUAAGCCUAAUUUAAAAGGUCAAGAUAAUUACUAUUUAAAAAGUAAGUAGUAUUUUUGAUCACUUAUAUUAAACAGUGAAUGCAAGACAGAAGGAAGGCUACAUUUUACAGCAGGAGAUUAAAAAAUAUAUACAUUCUGAAAAGGAUUUUAGACUGAGUAAUGAGAAAAAUUAAGCCUUCAAUUCAAAGACUAGUCAAUUUAAGGCUAAUUUGAAAUGCAUAUGCAUUCACUAAAAUUAAGGUAAGUGGAUAGCUGCAUUUUUCAGAUUAAGUGAUAUAGGGUGAGCAAAUAAUUCUCAUUAAAGCUUAGUAACUGGGCACUUUGGAAAACAGCCCAGUAUCUAACUAUGUUAUAGUCAUCUAAGUCUAUGCAAAAAUACGACCUUCAGAUCUCAGGAAUCUUUCCAACUUAUUUUAAAUCAUUACAAAGAUCAGCACACUAAAUAAGUACCUAACACAUUUCUAUUUUCUUUUUAUUUUGAGGUGUGCUUUUUUUUUUUGAAAUCUUUAGAAACAUGAGUAUCAAUUUUAGUUAUGAGUUAGCAAGUCAAGUAAUAUUCAAAUUACUGUCUGGUCCAGAGAGUACAUAUCAUUAAAAUCAUACUGACUUUAUAGGUGGAGGAAAGUUUUCUUUCAUGCAAUCCAAACACAGCAGCUCACCCCUGAUGCCAUGCUGAACUAUGAACGGAUUUCCAAAUCAUGAUAUGAAUCUGAGCAAUUUUCUGCACUGACAAGCCUCACUCAGGAGAGAGGAGACCACAGAAGUUCCUAACACAACCUUUGCAUAGCCAGGAGCUCCAUAUAAAACAAUUCAAGUCAGGUCACUUAGGGCUUUGUUGUGUCAGGUUUUGGAAAAACUCCAAGAAGGAAUAUUCCACAACUCCUUUGGAUGACCUGAAUGAUCGCUUAAUUAUCUUCAGAGGAAAAUUUUUAAACUUAAAUGUGGUUGAAAUUUCCCCCAUUUCAGUUUAUCACAUUUAAAUGUGAUGUAAAAUAAUAAGCCUUCAUUUCCUUGGUGGUUUUAUGAAUAUAAAUAAUAUUUGGAAAAGUAGGGGUUUGUUUUUUUUAUAGUCUGUGCAUUAUCUUUUAAGCAAAAUGCAUCUAUUCUCCCACCUUUGAAUGACAGGAAAAUGAGGUUUAGGAGGAAUGAAUGUCAUUUAUUGAUAAUUUUUGUCACUGGAUGUUCUCAACAUCCACUUCCUACAAAAAAAUACCCAAUGCAAAACUGUGAUAGAAACUGAGCUUUUCCUGAGAUAUUUGGGUAUGUAAAAAAUUGGUGUGUUUUUGUGAUAUACUAUAUUACAACUUUUCCAUCAGAAGGACACUUAAAUCAAUGUAUUGUUAAAUCUACUGACCUUCUGUCUACUUGUCAGAAGGGUGGGCUGGUAUGGUUUAUUCUCCAAAGUCUACUAAAGUACUGGAUGCACUUUCAGGGUUAUUACAAUUCAAGUAAAAAAGUGCUGAAACCCACAUGAUAACAAUUUUGAUAGAGGAAUGUCAUCUAGAUCUGUAUGUAUUUGAAAAAUCUAGUGCAUAAAUAAUCUUUCCUUAUCUUGAUUAGGAAAGUUGUUAGAUUGUAGUUCUUAUAAGGAAGUGGUUUUAUUCCCUCUGAAAAAAAAAUUCUAUGCAGAAGGACAUGAUUUUAGAAAUCAUGCAUAAUAUAUCAGGGGGUGACAUCAGAGGACAGAGGGAAGUGUAGCUCAUAUGAAGGCAAGAAUAAAGUUUAGAAGAAGACUUUCCUGAGUGUAGAGUGCCUGGAGAAUAAUGCCGUAUUUGCAGAUCUCUUCCUUUCUGUGCUCAGGAGGAGUCAUUGCCUCUAUUAUUAAACUUGAUCCUGAUGAUAUAUAUUGAUGUGAAAUACAGUGUACAUGAAAUUCUGUGGUAGAAUUGUUAAGCAUUGCAAUUCCUGGUGCGCAAAGUAGAAAGGAAUCAUGAUUUCAUAUUUUACUCUGCAGUAUUAUUGACAACUACUAACAUAGUAAUUAAAAAAAAAAAAAAAAAGAGAGCCUAGGCUGUUUACCUUUUGUUAGGAUAUAAUUAUGAUUUCUGUACUACCUAGAGAAAGAUGUAAUAAUCACAAUCCUUAAAAUCUUACAAAAUUUUAUAGUGCAUUAUAUUCUAAAAUAAACUAACAGAUAGACAUGGAAAUAUACAACAAAACAAUCACUUGGCUGAGUACAGGAAAGUUUUUUUCAAAGAAAUGUAAGUAUCAGCAAGUUAAUCCCUGAUUCAAUCUUGGCACAUUAUCUCAGAUUCUUCACUCUUUGAGCUAUUAUGUGCUGACUUCAGCAUAGAAAUGGUUAACCUGGGUCAUGAUUACACAUUUUCUUACAGAAAGUGAGGGAGUAAUCCAGAAGUCAGCAAGUGUACAAUUCAAGUGCCAUAGUGAAUACAAGGAGAGAGAGAAUGAAUAUCUAAAUAAAUGUUGAAAGGUAGGGAAUUUGGUAGAUGAAAGAAGCAUCUUUUUUUGUUUAUUUUGCUGGUCAGUCUUUUUUCUUUCUCUUCCUUCACUUCUAGAACUGCUGAGCUCUCACAUAAACAACAGUGUGAUAGCAGUAACCAAUCAAAAAUUUGACUUUUAAUUUAUUGACAGUGUGUUUGUUAAAAUACAGCAAUUUCUGCUGGGAUAUUGAUGUAAAAAUUUUAAAGAUGAGAUCCUGAAAUAAAAUAUAAUCAAUUUUUAGGUGAUUAUGAUAUUAAACAAUGCUAGAAUCUUAAGUACCAAUAUGACUAUUUGUAUCCAUGUUACGACUUUUGUAGGAUUGCAUCAGGCACAGUUGCUGUGUCUUGGGAGUACCUAGUAAGACUCUAGGGAGUCCUAAAGGAAAAACAUGCACCAAGAAGGAAAACAUUAAUGUGUAAUAACUCCAAAAUCUGAAAAUCAAGACGGCAGAAGGGGAAUCCUGUAUUCUUUCUUGCUUCCCUGCUUGCUUGCCCCAGCUGCAAGUUGAAGUCCCUCACAGGACCAUAACACUUUUGCCUUUAUAAUUUGACUGUAUUAGCAAUAAAGUGGUGAAGAUGAGGGAAGAAAUUUCUGGCACUGUCCUCAACUCCAAAAGCUCUUGUGCAAAAUGGGUCAUGCAUUAGUGGGUGCUUGCCAUGGAUAUUUUCUUUGGUUUGUGUUUCUUGCAGAGCUUAGCUGGUAUCUUCAGCAUCAUGAAAGACUUCCUAUGUAAUGUAUGGAAUUUUUGUUCUAUUCCUAGUUGUGCUUCUUUUCUUCAAAUUAUAUUUGUAUAUUUUGACAGUAGGCAGAAUAUCUAUUGUGGACCAUUUGUCCAUGGUCUUAAAGAUCCUCACAAUUAAUGUUAAAAAAUGAAAUAUUUUCUUCUAAACACAGCCUCUGUUUGUCUAGGAGGGGGUUUGGUUCACUGAAUAGAGUCCUGAAUGUAUCUGAAGCAUAUACUAAGUGUAACAGCAGUAUGUAUCUCAAAAGUUCUACAAAGAAGAUUUAAUACUGUCUGAGGUCAAUUCAUUUCCUGUCUCUGCUAGAGUGAUAAAAAUAUGAAGAGCUAAUUAUGUAAAAAAGUAUUUUUCAACUUUCAGAACAUACAAAGACUUCAUUGCAAAGAGCCACAAAAGGAAACUUGAUAGGAAAAAAGUUAUUACUUCUUUUUAUGUAGUAAAUAUGUGGAAAAUAAAUGUCUGGCUAUUUUAUAUCAAAAUAUUGUGAUGUUAAUUCUAUCAGAUUUGCCUAUAACUGCUUUAUUAUGACCAGUCACUAAAGCAGAAUGAAGCACUUCUUCAUGAAAAGAAAUAACAUUUCCCAAGCCAAUAUUUUUAAACCCAAGAAUAAAUUAAAGCAUUUUAAUAAAUAGCUUUAAAUGCAAUGUGAUCUAGUAAAAUGUCCUUUAAAAUAUAAGAUGCUGAAAAAAGUUAUCUGCAGGAAUGAUAAUUUGCCAUGCUACAAUAUUUAUAUAUGGCUAGAGAAUUUAUCUGUAGUAAAAUAAAGAAAGAAAUACAUAAAUGUUAAUGUAUUUUAGCAUCAUUAGAAUUUCACCAAUUUCUCCAUAGUUAACAUAAAUAGAUAUGACAAUGCUUAGCUCAGUUAAAAUGAAAACAUCAGUAUUGGGAAAAAAAGGUAUUUUGAGAUAUGCCUGUUAUUUUAGGGAUAUUUUUACUAAUUUUUGUAUAUUUGCAAAAAAGUUGUUUAUCUUUCUCUUACGAUAGUUUAUAGGGUUCUAAUGAUUUAUUAAUGUAUACAAAUAAAUGCAGCAUUUCUUAUAACGAAGCAGCCUGCUAGUGGCCUAGAACUUGUUUCUGAUUCCACAGGACUUUUUAACACUAUUCAUAAUCCUGGAAGGUCUUCCAGAAGGUCAACUAAUCCACUUUUCUAAUUAGUUAUCAUCUUAUUGUCAUCAACUUGUCAUUAACUGUCACUACUAUCCUGUAUGUGAUCUGUCCUGUGACUGCAGAGUGACAAAGUUCCACUUUUGUCUCCUGUAUCCCAGCAGCAGCAGUGCCUGUUCCCAGCAGGCUGACAGAGACAAGGGUGCAUAAUCUGGAGGACAAACCAUAGAUUGCUGGGGUUUUUUUUUGGUUUUUUUUUUUUUUUUUAGUGUGAUGAGGAAAUAGGAGUUUAUGCUUUUUUAUUUGCAGAUUUCUGUUUGUUGAAGGUGGGUUUUAAAUUAAGCAAUGCUGCAUAGACCACAGUGCAAGAAGUAGUGACCGCUUUCCAACAUGGGUAUUCUAUCCUGCUCUAUAAGUGUCUGUUUCAAAUGGAAAAACUUGCAGAUUGAAUUAUGAAAAUAAGCAUUAUAAAUCUUUGACAUGAGUUGCUCGUGCUCAUUUCCCAGAAGUCAUUUACUAUAAGUGCAUACUUAAGUGAUUGUCUCUUCUUUGUUCCAUUUUUGAGAGUUUUUGAAUAAACUUCCCAGAUGUUGCUAAAAUACACCAUCACCUGCAAUUUUGUGUUUGUGCUAAGACACCAACCUCUGUGCACAUAUUCUUUCACCUUCCACUAAUAAUAAUAACAAUAAAAACAAUAAUAAAAGAGUAGUUUAGUGACUAUUGAAGUUUAAAGGGCUGAAUUACAUCAUGACAGGCUACCAAUUACUUUUAUACAAACAGUAGAUACAAAUGCAUUCACCAUGACUUUCAUUCUGAGCCAUAAGAUAAAUUUUAGAAAGGAACAUUGUAAACUAAAUGCUGAAAUUAUGUUUGUAGUGAGAAAUCAAAGAAAUGGUGUCUAAUCUUUUCCUUCAUGACACGCUAAUCAGUGACUUUUAUUAGACACUUAACAGCAAAUACUUACAAGUAUUAAAUAUCAGAAAUUCUUGUGCUGGAAACUGCUGCACUGACAGAACUGAGAUGGCUCAAACCUAACCUUCACAUUUAAUCACUACAUUUCUCUGCUUAAUAGUGCUUUUUCUCCUACUGUUAGCUUUGUGAUGAUGAAAAACACAUUUUGGUCUUGUGUCAGUACUGGAAAUAGGACUUGCAAUCAUAAAAUCUUUUGCCACUCUAUGCUGUGCAAGUGAUUGAACAAGAAAUUCAGUCUGUCAAGCAACAGUCAAUAGCCAUCAUGGCAGCUGAUUUUAUGCUGAUCAAGGCUUCUGGAGUGAAAGCUUGUGCUGUCCUGGGAAUGCUGAUGUCCUCAACAGCCCAGCAAAGUUUAAGAUGAGUAGAGUUAAAUGUAAGGUAAAAUUUGUUAUACAAUGAUGUUUGUCAUAUGGUGACAUUAUAUAUAUAACUUCACAGAUUUAUUUAUGUUAAUCAUGAGGGGCAUAGAAUAUAACACUCAAUAUUAAUAUAUGCUAGCUAUGUAGCAUAUUAAUAUAUGCUACAAUUUGUAUGGGUAGCAGAAGAGGAAAGGAUUACAUUUUCUUAACCCUUUACCUUCUCAAUUUACCAUCAUUAAAUCCCAUACAUUGGAUUUCUAUACAUGAUUUUUUGACCUUAAUCAUUCACUAUGUUAUUAGUUGGUUUCUGGGAGUUACCUUGUGAGACAGCAAUGAUCUGGUUUUGGAAAUGCUGUUAGUAUUAGUUACUGCAGGAUAAAACAGCUGCUUUAUUAACAGCUUCAAAUAUGUGCUAUUUAAUUCUAAGGGAUAAUACUGGUUUUCAGCUGGAGAAAAACAUGCAAAAUUAUGUUAGGGAAGAUAAGUUCUGAUAUUACCAAACCUAGCACUGCUGAAAUGCUUACAUUUUCUUCUGUAUUCCAUUGAAAUGUAAAGACUUUAAACUGGCAAAGCAACAAACAACUGUUUAAAAAGAAAUAUUUAUAGCCAGAAAAUAAGCUUUUUUUUUUUUUUUUUUUUUGUCUCUACUGUGUUGCUUUAAUCACUUCCACCUAUCCAGCAUAAACCAACUCAAAACCCAUGGUGGCUGGCCAUAACAUCUACUCUAGGAUGUCUUUUGUAAGACUGUGUCCACCAGCCUGUGACUGAUAGUUCUUAAAGAAAAAGAGCUCAAUUGAUUUGGAAGGAGUUUCUACAGACCCAUUUAUGAUGUGCAGCUUGAGCAGCCUUAGUGCUCAGUUGGAGCUGGUAAAUAGAACUGGAAAUCUACAGGACACCUGGCAAAGAAACAGUGGUCAUUUCUUCUGCUGCAGCAGGCACUUAGAUGUCUUGUUGUGUUGUCAGGGCUGACGAAAAAAACAUCAUUCAGUCUUCACUGAGGAUAAAAUAUAAUACAAAUUUCCUUGGAAAAUGAUCCUUAGCUGAAUCAGGACCAGGAAGAGACAACCGAGGUAACUAAGCAGAUGGACUUCUCAAUUUUAUUUUUGAAAGUAAUCAAAGCAAAACAGCAAUAAAGGAGCCAUUCUAUAAAUAUAACCAUGUUGAAAAAAACAAACUUCUUUAGGAUGUUUCUGGGUGUCUUCUUUCCUUGCUAUUUGUUUUGUACUUUCGUUGUUUACUUUUGGCAAUUAUAUCUAUAUAUAAUAGAUAUAUACUUUAAUGUAUAUAUAUAUAUACAGGGAAAAACACUCCUGCUGUGGACUUUUCAUAUGUUCUUGCAUAAUCUCAGUGAGAACAGGGGAAGUAACUUUUUAUAAUUUUACCCAGUUUUAUGUUUCUAGUUUGAUUAAGAUUGGAAAAAACCAAACCAAAACAAAACAAAACAUAAAAAAAAGCCCCAAAAUAUUUCUGCUGUGCCAGAGAAAAUGGUUGCAAGGAAUCAGUACAUUCAAGGGCAAAAUCAAGGCAAGGCAUGGCAAGCAGAACGUGUGAGAAAUGUCACACAAACCCUUCUUCUGGGUAUGCUCACCCACACACAGGUGGCAGAGGUCUGGGGAUGCAGAAUGUCUUUCUGGGACACCACUGAUCCCCUCCUGCUCUGCUGCUGAAUUAAUGAUAAGAAUUUAACAGUCUUUUGAGUGGAAUUAAUUGCUAUACUCUCAGGAUGUAAGUGGAAGAGACGGAAAGAGGAGAAUAAAGGAGUAAUUCUUACACUGAAGUGUAGACAGUGCUGGGCUGGGUUUUUAUGAUCCACCUGGAUUUGUUCCUGGAGUUGGGUGUUCCUAAUAAGGGUGGUGAGAUAGAGCUGAGCUCAGACUAGUUGCCAAUGGAUAUAAUAAACAUAUUACAAAAUGGAAUUAUUGGAGUGGAAUUUUGUUUUGUUUAAUGUAGAUAUUCUACAAAAAAAUUUAACCAAUAAAUUUUGAAAAAUGUGGUUAUGUUACUGUCUUGUUACAUUCCAGUAUAAACAAAAUGGAAUUCAAGUAAUGUUCCUACCCUAUAUUCAUUUCAUUUAUCAUAAUUUUCCAUAUUUGUGUUUGGAUCAAAAUUAAUCUUAGUUGAAAACGUCCUUUUAAUGUAGAAUUUGCCACUUAUGGAUAAGUGUGUGUUUCGCUCACCUAAUCAAAGUUGUGUUUUAGUAUGUUUGAGAAUGGUGUCUUGAGAAUGCCAAGUUGUUUGUUUCCAUAAAACUUUAAGUUAAUUCUGAUUGCCAGGCAUCAUUAUCACUUAACGGUUACUGACACAUAUAUUUCUAUUUUUAUUUAAAUGAAACAAGCAGCACUAUCCUGCAUAUGUGGGGUUCUCUAGAGGUUCUCUAAAGAUCAUCAUUUCACUGCCUAUAAUGAAAAGUUUGCGUUGAUGACUUCUUAAAUAGGUAUUGUUGCUUCUUCAAAGUGUCAAGACAGUAAAGAACAGUAUGUCUUGGAUUACCAUAAAUAGGAUAAGAGCACAUUGAAAUUGUACCUUCAACACUACAUUCAGAGCAAUGUGUUUGGAACUUUUAUAAGUUCCACAGUCAUUUAAACCACAGGAACAAGAAGGAAAAUGAGACAUUUGUAUAAUCUGAUUAUAACUAUGUGUUUUUUCUAUUUAAAAAUUGGGUCUUAUUCCAAGAGAACAAUGGAAAAAUCUGGGGUCUCCUACCCAAAAGGGGAAAGUUCAUAAUAAAUUUUUUUUUAUUUGUCUUGAAGUCCAGUCAUCAGAAUAAGUAUAUUACCUUUCAUUCUACUUAUUGAUUGUAUUAAAACAUUUAGAGAUAAAAGAAAAAAAAAAGGUGUGUAUAUUUUUAAAUAUUGGCCUAGAAUAUCAAUCACAGACAUAACUAUAUAAUAAAAAAAGAAAGUCAUAAAUCAGCUCUGUCGCAUGUCUUGUCAGAAUUUAGGACAAAAUCUGUUGCAGGAAGCUGGAAGACAUUCAUCGUUGUUAUUUUGGAGCAGUAAUAUUUUGCCAGAAGGGAAAAUGCUUUGCCUCAAAUCAGUGUCAAAAUUUGCAGCUGAAUCCAAAACUUUCUUAUGACUAAAGUUUUUGUUUUUCUCGGUUAGUGUCCUGUACUUGGAAUUUAGUAGGAAAUAUUAAAAGGAUACAAAUUCCUCAUUAAAGUUCAGAAAUUAAUUCUAGAACCACGCCACACUCUGCCAUAAAAUUACCUAGUAGGUCCUAAUUUCCCAUGAGCCAAGCAGAAAAGUUCUGAGAAUAACUGUCUUAAAGAUGUAUGUAAAAUUUUGUGUGUAUAUAUCAUAUUUAUAAAAGUAUGUGAUAUAUAUAUAUAUAUGUUUAUAUAUAUACAUGUUUAUAUAUAUAUGUUUAUAUAUAUACAUGUUUAUAUAUAUAUAUAUAUAAACACAACAUAUAUGUUGUUAGAUGUGUAGGAACACUUGAGACAUGCCUAAAGAUGGAAUUAAAUACAGUCCCUUAAUAAGAAGGAAAUAAAGAAAGGAUGAUGGUGUAAUAGUGGAUGGCAAGAUACAGAAAACAACUGUGGAGAGAUUGGGAGGACAUUGAAAUAGUUUGAAUUUACUGUUGGGUUGUAUGAAAUUGGCAAAACCAGUUACAUUUAUUUCAGAACCGUGGUUUUCAUCCCAGUCUAUGGCAGGCAGAGAAGCAGCAAGUGGCAACUAUUUUAUUAUAUUUUUUAGGUGUACUCAUAUGCUCUGUUAGUCAGCUAUUACCGUCUUGACUCAAUUCCUUAAGUUUUUUUUCUCCUAUGAAUUAGGAGAAAUGUUUUGAGCCUAUGCAAGCUGAGGCAAUAACCUACCUGCAUGCACAGAGUUCAACUAUGAGGAAAGUGACAGCGUACCAACCUCCUGUUUUGAAAUUCUAGCCUGAUGAUUUCAGUCCAUUGAUUCCGUUUAUGUUUUAUGACAAGAACUAAACACUCAUUCCUUAUUCACAUUCUUCUUGGCAUCCAUGAUUUCACAGACUUCUGUUGCAUGCUUGGGGUUUAAAGGUCAGUCAGAUCUCAUUCAGAUGUUUUUGUAUAUCUUUGAGAAUUCUUUCUGCCCUUUUUCACUUCUUUUCAUAUCUUACUAUCCUUUUAGGAUAUGAUGACCAUAAGUAUUUUAUACUCUCUUCCUUUCCUUAUAAUUUUUAUUUGUUUUGGUUUUGUUUUUCACUCGUUAUCCUUUUUACUCUUUCCCCUAUAGAUAAUACUUUAAUAGAACUCUUUAUUAUAAUUGCAAAUCUUUGACUAAGUAAUAAGGCUAGAAACUGGUGUUUACUGACUAUCAGUGGUAACUCCUUUUCACUGUUUCCAUGAAAAAAAAAUCAGGAUUGCUUUCUUUAGUGUGCACAAUUUCAAUGUGUUCAGUUUUGGUUUAUCCAUUGUACUGCCAAGUACUAGCCUGUUAUUCUUCUUCACCUCUUGACACUUUUCUCAACACUCUGUUCAUUUUAUAAAAAAAAAAAAAGUUAAUUUGAGGUUGGGACAUGUAAAAAUAUUCAGUGUUUUUACUCUGUCAUUGACACAUUAGUACCACAGAUACAUUACAUUCUAUACCCGUUCUAGAACACAGUUUACAAAAUACUAAUCCUCACCAUUGGCUACUCUUAUAGAUAUAAAAUUUUAUGGUAAAAUAGCUGAAGGAUAGUAAGAAAUUCCCUUAUUGUAAAGGAAAUAGAAAGCAGAUAUGACCAAUCUGUCAGCCCAUCUAAUCUAGCAUUUUCUAUCUGGUGAUGUUGCAGAUAGUAUGUUUCGAAGAGUGCUGUAGCAGACAUAUUUGCAACAACCUAUUUGGAGUGUGUAUUUCUUUUUCUGUUUAUCUGACUUUACAGCUUGAAACAAGAAGCUUCAAUCCUUCAUCCUUUAGGUAAUUUCUAUCUCUCUUCAGGGCACAAGGUAAUCUUUAGCUGGCAAGGGCACAAAGCUACGUUUUAGGAGGCAGGUUGCUCCAUCAUUUUCCACACGAAUACAUUGCAUCUUUCUCUGAUGUAUGUGGCUCUGGCCCAAGUUAGAGGCAGAGUGCUGAGCUAAUCACAGGUCUGCUCCAGCAUAGCAGAUCCUGUAAGAUAACAGAUGCUCCACAACAAAUACAGAAUUUCCUGUCAAUAGUACAUAAUUCCAUCUGAAAACACAUGGUGAUGCAUGUCAAAAAAGCCAGUUGACUGUACUUGUAGGUCAUUUUAUACCUUAUCCCUUUGUAAAUAUAUGUGCUGGUAUGAAAUUCAGUAUAUAAAAUAUUGGAUUUUAGAACCUUGAUACAAAUUGUGCAAAUAUUCAUUACUUUCUUUUCCUGGAAGGGAAAGUUAUAAUUUCUUUAAUUUUUCAAAAAGUUUUUUUUAAUGACAUAAGCAAUUUAAAUUGUUUUUAUAAAUAUUUUUCCUGUCUUUGUGGAAUGGAGAAGACAACUCCAGCAGACUGCAAUUGCAGAUUGCAGUUACCUUUUCUUUAGUUUAAAAGUGCUGGCAUGAUAAGUGAAAAUAAUAACUGUUCUUUGUGUACAAAAUACUUUCAACAACCAAAUAAAAAUUGGGACAGUUCGAUUUCCUGCACCAUAAUGAGUAAAUCUCUGUUCUGUGUUCAGUAAAUCAUUUGGCACCUUCUUGACAACUGAAAAUGGGAACAAUGGUAUCUUUAUAACUCACAGACGUAGUGCAAUGGACUAAAACCACUAGUCACACUAAGUGAUCAUCUGAUUAAACAUCUGAGUGAUAAUCCUAAUCUAGCAGUUUUCUCAGUUAAAAUCCUCAACUGUCCCUUAGUUAAACUACUUCACAAAAAGAGACAUUGAUUCACCAAAAAAAUAAAUAUAUAUUGAUAGUUUGUAUGUUUUAGGGUCUAUAUUUGAAUAAGAUGCAGAGUGUUUGAAGUGUUCUUGAGUCAUCUGUUGACUUUUAAAAUUGUUUUAUAGUUUUUAUUCUCAUACAGAGUUAAAACCAUUAGGUCAUUUCACGUAACUGUCUAGAAGCCAUAUAUCAAGAUACUCAUUCAGGAAAUACUUUAAAUUUCAUCUGACUAGAGGAAGACUUGUGGACUAGCUAGCACACAUUUUUCAACAGAACUCUAGUUUGAAAUUUAAGCCAUAUGAAAAGAAUAUGCUGUUUUCCAUGGAAUGUGUGUCAAUUACAGGAGUUGAGGGAAGAUUUUUUUAAUAUUUUUUUUCCCCUAAAAAAUGUACGACAACAUAUCAAACAGACAGACUGGAUAUUUUGCAGGAGGAAAAGGUGGCUCACAUGGAUACCAUAGAAUUUCAUAAAGUUUCCAGUAUGGCCAAUGAAUAAGAGGGAAUACAAUGCAGAAUACAGUCUCAGCCUUAAAUGGCAAUGUGUGACAUUCAAAACAUCAUGAGAAACUUAGGGUUAUAUUUUUAAGGAUUAUUCAUUUUAUUUUUUUAAUGGAUUCAGUCUAUCAGUUCAGUUUUUCUUACUCUAGAAAUAAAUAUAACUCAUAAUUUCCAAACCUGAAUACCUUCCAUUUGAAUAAUUUAGAAGACUUAGAAUAAUUUAAAGAAGGUUGCUUUAGUUCUGCACUGAACAUCUGAGACUAUUGACCCCUUUUAUAAUGCAGUGUGGACUCACAGAAAUGAUCAACCUAUGUCUACAUAGAUUUUCCUCUAAUUGCCACAUUAAAAUUUUGAAAAUUAUCAUAAAUAUUAGAUAAUAGAGUAAUUUGAAUCAAUGCCAUUUCCAGAUUGCGUUGCCAUAUACAUUUAGGUCUCCCUGAGAAGGGCAGUACUAGUCUCCAGUAAAGGUAUGUCUUUCUUGAUCAUGCUCUCACCUAGCACAUCAGUGCUUAUAUAAUUCUGUGAUUUUUUUUCUGUUAUAGAGCCUUGUACACUCACUAUGUUAAUUAUUUUUUUAAUUGUACAUUCUUAUAUAACAUCCUAGCUUUAUUUCUGUUUGCUAGCUUUCAGUUUUCUAUGAUUUUGCUGAAGAUAUACAUUGCAGGAUUUGUUUUCUUAUACUAAGUGAACAGAAAAAUAUAUUCAGCUCGAAUAUGUUCUCACUUUCUUGCACCAAAACGUAUCAGACUUACUCAAGUUGUUUUAACCAUCAGUGUGCACAGAACAUAAAAUAUUAUAUAAACUUCAUUGCAGGUGAAGACAUACAACUAAAUUUUGCUUUCACCUGCAUGUGUUUAAGGACAGAACAUGUUCAUGUAUAUGAUAUUUCUGUAAAAAAAGGGGUCCCUGAUGUGAUGUUUUUCACUGCAUAAAGCAGAAUAAGCAGCACAGCUUGAGUAAGAAACACAUGUCAGAUAAAGAAGGAAAAAAAACUGGUGGGUAAGGGCAUAAUAAUUAAAUUUUGUCACACUUCUUUAGUCCUUUUGCAGAAGGGCUCAUCAGAAUGGUGCUGGAUCUUAGCAACUAUUGCAUCAAAGUCUACAGUCAGAAGUGCAGGACUGUGUUUUCAUGACAGGAUGCUGUUAAAGACACAAACUGUAAUUCAUUAUUUUCUAAAAUUUCUGACCUUCUAGCAAAUAUAAUUCUUCAGUUUCAUCCACAGUUAGACAUCUUCAGCAUUAGCAGGUCAAAUCCUUAUUUGUUUUGAAGUCAGUGAUCCUGUGACAUAAAUUUAUUUCUCAUCAUCAUCUAAAUUUCUUUAAAAAUUCAGCUCAUGGACCUGUGUAGAUAAAUACUGAAAAACUUCCUCUUUCUGAUUGCCAUUAGUAUAAGAAAUUACUUGCUUUUAAACAGCUUUAUUGACCUUUUAUGCCCUGGAUUCAUUUCUCUCAGUAUCUUCCACAGAACAAUUUUUAGAUUUGUUAAUUUUGUAUUUGCAUGAUAGUUCUGGGAAGAUAUGCAGAAUGCACUCAUGCUCCUAAUUCUUCAUUCGUUUAUCAGGGCAUACCAAAUUUUCAAGCUGAUGCUAUUUUACUCUUUUUAUAUUUGUUACUGGAACUCUUAAUGUGCUUGGAGGCUUUGAAAGGCUUCACAUUAUAGUACUCAUCUCUUUUGAGGCUUUUUUGUAUAUAUUUUAGUUCUUUUUCAAGGAUUUUCUAGGAACUAUGAGCUCUUCUCUUAUGAUUCUUCAUGAUCAAUCAUUGUGCUUUCCAGUUUGCCAUCUUGGAUGAAUAUAUACUGCAGUUACAUAAAUUUGGGUGUGGAUAUACAAAUAUGUGUUUGUAUAUGCACUUGUAUAUAGGCAUAUGCAUAUGAACAAAUAUGUUUAAACACUCAUAUGGCUAUGAGUGUGUAUACAUGCAUAACACAUAUAGAAAAUGCUCAUACGGAUAUUCUUAAUGGCAUAUUUAGGCAUAUAGGAGGCACACAGGCCCAAGCUGCCAGAGUGUCUAGCUCUAUAAAACACAAAACAAGAUUUUCCUUUGGUGCUCUUUCUAAGGACUCCAGCUCUUCAUGACACUUCCAGAAGUGUAGUGUACAGCAGUAUCUGUGCAUCACUGUGACAAAGCACUUUUUGUCUUCUGCAAAUUGAAGUUCAUUACAUUAGUGCUGAUGUUCUCUCAGCAGGUGGUCGAUGUCAAUUAUUUUUUGCUUCUGUGUAAUGAAAGCUGCUACAUAUUCAUUUCAAUUCUGUUACAGACCUCUGAAGUUCUGACAAGCUGUGAGCAGUUCUUCUAUCAGGUAAACUUAUGAACAGCUUCCUAAUAGUUGGAAUCAUCUUGUCCUGACUAACCUGGAUUUCUCACAACUUGUCUCUAUGUUUGCCUCAUACACAGUUGAGGUUGUCCUUUUCCUUUCUCAAUUUUUAGAGCUUGUUGCAGAAGACAGGCAUCCAGACCUCACUUGCUCCCUUACAACAGCUGUUGCCAAGUGUUGGACAAGGUGAUUUUAUUUUAACAGGUGCCUGCACAAGAUAAUUUACAUUGAUCUGACACUUGGACUAUGUCCACAUGAGAAACUUACCUUGCCCUUGUCCAAGCCAGCACUAAUUUCUAGUCAGAUCAAACUGAGUUCUGUUCCUCUGGAAAUAACAGCCUCAAGACUCUGUGCCAGUGCCAGUCACAUGGACACAAACCGACCUAAUUCUGAAUCUUGAAUAAAGUGCUUCUUGACUAUUCAGAUUUAAACAAAACAAAACAAAACAAAAAACCCACUAAACCAGAAUGUGGUAUUACAUUAAAAAUCUCUUCCUAGUCUUCAACCUGCUGCAGUACAGAAAUUCUGAGUUUCAUUUCCAGGAUUUUGCCAUCACUUUGAUAUAUUUUACGCGUGCACGUGCGCACACACACACACACACACACACACACACACACACACAUAUAUAUAUAUAUAAUCCCUAACUCUGAAUCUAUGGGAUUUUUUAAAAAAACAUUUUCUAGGUAUUGAAAAAGAUGUCUGAAACAAUGGAUCUUUUUUCAAAGCCUUUGUUUGUCUUAUGACUCAUUAGAGGGACAGUAACUCAUUGGGUACUCAUAUUACACUGGCAACUAAAUAUGUUGAAAAACAUCCAAGUUAUGCUCAUAUAAAUCUUCCUAACAGCCAGCUAGAGCACUCCCUCUACUAUGUGCAGACACACUGCCAGGCAUAAAGAAAAGAUGGUUGAAAAGUUUUACUUUGUGUCCCUCUAGACAAUAAGUCAUCAGAAUUCAUUUUUAUGACUGAAGGCAUAAAGAGUUUAGUGGCUGAGGAGCUGCCUCUGUUUACCAGAAUUGGCUUUCUGGACUUGCACAAUGCAGUGUGCAUUAGGCAGGUAGAAAUUUGUUAUCAGCAGUAUAAAAACAUCUGUCAUGCUGUCAAGUUUAAUGAGAGGGAGGCAUGGAAGAAGAUAUUGCAAUCUAGAGAUACAAUUAGAUCUCUGGAAGAAAAGUUUGAGCCGUAUAACUUGUUCAUUGGAGUACAAAAUGACCAACUCACACACACUGGCUGGGGCAGGAAGGCACUCUGGAGAUAACCUGAUCCAAGCCUCUACUCAGAGCAGGGUCAACAAGAGCAGGGUAGCCAGGAGUGUGUCUAGCUGGGUUUUUAAUAUCUCUAAGUGUAGAGAAUCCUCAGCUUCUCUAGACAACUUUUCUGGGUGUGACUUUCUUCCUCUCAAAUAAAAUUUUACUUAUGUUUAAGUCUCAUUUUGUGCCCUCUGCGUGAGAAAACUUUGUCCUCUUUACUCCCCCAUCAGGGAGUAUGAGUCCUCUGAGUGUUCUUGUUUUCCAGACUGACAAGUCACAGUUUUUUCAGCCUCUUCUUUUGUGCCAGAUGCUCCAGUCCUUGAGCUCCUUGAGACCGGACUCACUCUAGUCUGUUUACAUCUUUCUCACACUGAGAAGCCCAGUACUGGACCCAGCACUUCAGAUUUGUCUUGCCAGAGUAGAGAAAGGGGAUCACUUCCCUUAUCCUGCUAUCAACGCUUUUGCAUAACGCAGGCCAGGGUACCUUUAGCCUUCUUGGCUGCGAAGGCAACCUGCAGACUCGUGUCCAGACUUUGUGUCCACCAGGACACCCAGGACAUUCCCUGCAAACUACCUUCCAGAUGGAGCAUACACUGGUACUCGAGUUAUUCCUCCCCAUGGUCAGGAUAUGGCCUUUACCCUUGUUGAUCUCUAAAGCUCUUGGCCUAUUUCUCCAAUCUCUCAAGGUCUUCCUGAAUAAAAGGACACCAAUCUGGUGCAUCAGCCACUCUUUCAAGUAUUGUAUUGUCUGUAAAAUCACUGAAGGUGUGCUGUAUCCCAUCAUCUGGGUCAUUAAUUAUAAUGCUGAACAGUAUUGGCACUAUUACAAUUACCCAGGGGAGAAUCUGUACGAUGUUGUAGAAAUGACAUUCAAUGCUUAUGAAAAAAGUUAUAUUCAGACAUUAUAUUAGAAACAGCUUUCCUACCAUCUUGACUAUCAGAUCAAAAUGUUUCCAUUAGUUUUUUGAGUUGUUAAUUUCAUCUCUUUUUAAGAAAACUCUUCUUUAUUGAUGAAAAAAGUAAUGUUUAAAAAACAAAGCCUAACGAUUUUUAAACUAUCAUGACAUUGAUCUUAAACUAUGAAAAUUUUGAAGAGUAUUGUUCAUGCUCUUUGUGUUGGACUUUGUUUCAAUAAACCUAAUUUCAGUUUUCAGUACUGAAGUUUUCAGUAGAUGGUCAUCUAAAAGGCACAUCAUUGUCAAAUUAUAAAGAGAUAAGUUAUUAUAAUUUGUGUUAAUCUUCCUUUUUAGAUUUCAGUGGUCACUCUACUUUUUAGUUCAGAAGACUAAAGACUAUUUACUUUACUCGGUUCUUCAAGAAGUUCAAUGAUGUUUCAGUAAUUAAACUUCAUUAUGCUACCUGCUAGAGCUCUUGCACUAGACUAAAAUUCAGCUGCUGUCUUCUUGAAUGACUUUUAUUACUCUUGUUCAUGUUGUGCCCUUGGAAAUUGAACAUUAGCAAAGAUUUCUCCAUCAGGGGUGACAAAGUGUUAGACCAUGAGGUGAUAAAAAGGAAAGAGAUGGCAGACAUAAAAGGAAGUGUUUUUACAUCUGUAAAUACUGCUAAAACAACAUCAGAAAAUAUUUUAGGACCAAGUUUCAAGUAAGCCCUGUUCAUUUGAUGCCCACAUGAGCGUUUGCCUUUUUUUUCCCCAGAAACUGUUCCUAGGCAUGUAUUAUCCAAGCCCACAAUGCAUUGCUGUUUUCUUGUAUUCAUGAUUUAUGGCUAGAUAGGACCCAACCACUAAAGGUAGAAAAAUGUAUUAGGAAAUUGCCACUGUAAUGCUUCACAUAUACUUAAUAAGUGUAGAUCUGCAAACAUACUUGAAUCAGCAUAUAGAUCAUAAAAUAAUAGAAUCAGAAUUAUUAAGAUUGGAAAAGAUCUCAAAGGUCGAGUUCUACCAUUAACCAGAUAAUAUUUAUGUUUCUGUUGGCAUCUAAAAGAAGAGACAUAGAUAAUCGUGCUUCUUCAUAACAAGAGGACAUUCAGGGUAAUCAAGUCUAAUUCUUUUGAUCUCUGGGAUAUCACACCUUUAGCAAUUGGCAAAAGUCCACCUGAGUUUUGUUAUCCACCUGCCCUAUAAAAUCAUACUUCUGUCUUCCUGGCUACUUGCAUCCAUUUAUUUUUGUGUCAGUCUGGUCCUUUAGUUUAGAGAGAAGUUUUCACUUUCUGUUCUUUCUUCUUCCCUUUCUCUGAACCUCUGUCCUUCCCACUCCCUGCCAGAAGGAAAUAUCACAAGGCAUCUUUCCUCCUUGGUUUUGUAGCCUUAUUAAGUUACGCAUUAGUCUACCAGCCAUAGUAUCAUCCUUCUUCUGUUUGAUAACAAUUUCUGUCAUUCAUCAAUCUACAAGUCCUCCCCUGGAGUGCUCCAGUGGCUCUGCACAUAGGAAAUGUGCAGAUAGAGAAGUACAGACACUGUAGUGUGUACAGACAUUGCUAAUAUUAAUUUUUGUAUUUUAAAGUUUUUUAAGUUCUUAAAAAUAUUUGUAGGUUGUUAUCUUCGUGAUC
Non-coding RNA from Taeniopygia guttata (zebra finch), 35769 nucleotides. Lineage: Eukaryota; Metazoa; Chordata; Aves; Passeriformes; Estrildidae. The record is from RefSeq and is a predicted model, not a curated record.